This 539-nucleotide ribosomal RNA is filed under the name Hemicriconemoides cocophillus. Its description in RNAcentral is "eukaryotic LSU rRNA". It matches the Rfam family "Eukaryotic large subunit ribosomal RNA", at positions 386 to 813 of the family's 3401-position model. The record is from RNAcentral. Lineage: Eukaryota; Metazoa; Nematoda; Chromadorea; Rhabditida; Criconematidae.
CGGAUAGAGCUAGCGAAAUCGCUUGUAUUCAGCCAAAGACCCGUGGACGCCAUUCGUUGAGUUGCUAAUCAUGCUCUGCGUGUGUCCGUCUUAUGGGUUCAGGUGCAUUUGCGGGCGUAUGCGCUGAGACUUGUGGGGUAGCUGCAAAACCUUUGCUUAGAGGCCUCCCUCUGGGUGGAACCUAGGCGCUGUGAAGGCUGUUUGCCCCGCUCGUAUGUUGAGACGGAUUGCUUUAUCUGUGCGGCUGUUUCCUUGCAAUGGUAUCGCAUGCGAUGCCUAGCUUGGGAGCUGUUGUGUAGGUCGGGUAACCGUUUCUUUCUCGGUGUAGAAGCUGGUCAUCUCUCCGACCCGUCUUGAAACACGGACCAAGGAGUUUAGCGUUUGCGCGAGUCAUUGGGUGUUAAAAACUCAUAGGCGCAAUGAAAGUGAAGGCCUGGUCGCUGGGCUGACAUGCGAGUGUUGUGGCUUCGGCCCUGACAUGAAGCAUGGUCCCGUUCUGGUCGCUUGCGACGGAGCGGAGACAGAGCGUAUGCGCUGAG